RNAcentral lists this ribosomal RNA (913 nucleotides) under uncultured compost archaeon. RNAcentral's name for it is "bacterial SSU rRNA". It matches the Rfam family "Archaeal small subunit ribosomal RNA", at positions 1 to 922 of the family's 1478-position model. The record is from RNAcentral.
UUCCGGUUGAUCCUGCCGGAGGUCACUGCUAUCGGGGUUCGAUUAAGCCAUGCGAGUCGAGAGGGUUCAGACCCUCGGCGGACUGCUCAGUAACACGUGGAUAAUCUGCCCUAUGGUGGAGGAUAACCCCGGGAAACUGGGGAUAAUACUCCAUAAGUCAGGAGUACUGGAAUGUCUCCUAACUGAAAGUUUCGGCGCCAUAGGAUGAAUCUGCGGCCGAUUAGGUAGUUGUUGGGGUAACGGCCCAACAAGCCCGUAAUCGGUACGGGUUGUGGGAGCAAGAGCCCGGAGAUGGAAUCUGAGACACGAUUCCAGGCCCUACGGGGCGCAGCAGGCGCGAAAACUUUACAAUGCAGGAAACUGUGAUAAGGGAACCCCGAGUGCCCGUACACGCGGGCUGUCCCGGUGUUUAAAACACAUCGGAAGAAAGGGCCGGGCAAGACCGGUGCCAGCCGCCGCGGUAAUACCGGCGGCUCGAGUGGUGACCACUUUUAUUGGGCUUAAAGCGUUCGUAGCUUGAUUUUUAAGUCUCUUGGGAAAUCUCACGGCUUAACUGUGAGGCGUCUAAGAGAUACUGGGAAUCUAGGGACCGGGAGAGGUAAGAGGUACUUCAGGGGUAGAAGUGAAAUUCUGUAAUCCUUGAGGGACCACCGAUGGCGAAGGCAUCUUACCAGAACGGCUUCGACAGUGAGGAACGAAAGCUGGGGGAGCGAACGGGAUUAGAUACCCCGGUAGUCCCAGCCGUAAACUAUGCGCGUUAGGUGUGCCUGUAACUACGAGUUACCGGGGUGCCGAAGUGAAAACGUGAAACGUGCCGCCUGGGAAGUACGGUCGCAAGGCUGAAACUUAAAGGAAUUGGCGGGGGAGCACCACAACGGGUGGAGCCUGCGGUUUAAUUGGAUUCAACGCCGGA